Molecule: ribosomal RNA, 627 nt
Filed under: uncultured bacterium
Lineage: Bacteria
Description: bacterial SSU rRNA
Rfam family: Bacterial small subunit ribosomal RNA
Source: RNAcentral
AGUCGAGCGGGCCUUUCGGGGUCAGCGGCGGACGGGUGAGUAACGCGUGGGAACGUGCCCUCUGGUUCGGAAUAACUCAGGGAAACUUGAGCUAAUACCGGAUACGCCCUUUUGGGGAAAGGCUUGCUGCCGGAGGAUCGGCCCGUGUCUGAUUAGCUAGUUGGUGAGGUAACGGCUCACCAAGGCGACGAUCAGUAGCUGGUCUGAGAGGAUGAUCAGCCACACUGGGACUGAGACACGGCCCAGACUCCUACGGGAGGCAGCAGUGGGGAAUAUUGGACAAUGGGCGCAAGCCUGAUCCAGCCAUGCCGCGUGAGUGAUGAAGGCCUUAGGGUUGUAAAGCUCUUUUAUCCGGGACGAUAAUGACGGUACCGGAGGAAUAAGCCCCGGCUAACUUCGUGCCAGCAGCCGCGGUAAUACGAAGGGGGCUAGCGUUGCUCGGAAUCACUGGGCGUAAAGGGCGCGUAGGCGGCGUUUUAAGUCGGGGGUGAAAGCCUGUGGCUCAACCACAGAAUGGCCUUCGAUACUGGGACGCUUGAGUAUGGUAGAGGUUGGUGGAACUGCGAGUGUAGAGGUGAAAUUCGUAGAUAUUCGCAAGAACACCGGUGGCGAAGGCGGCCAACUGGA